GGCCCCGGGGCGGGGAGGCUGGGACGCCGGGGCUCCGGGUUCCCGGUUCCCGCCUGGCCGCCCGGUUGCUGGUGCGGGUUGGGGUAGAGCUGCGAGCCCUAAGUACAGACGCCUCCCAGGCGGGACCCGCCAAGGGUGCGGAUCGCCGUGGCUCCCUCAGGGCUGGCUCCCGGGCUCUGUGAGCAAGUGCGGAGUGGAUCCCAUUCUGCUGCCUAUCCCGGCCGCAGUGGGGACCUCGGGAGAACGAGGAGCUAGGACGCGGCGACUGCAACGCACUCACGGGAACAAGAAGUCAUUUCAACUUUAAAGCAUCUAAGACUACAAUUGUGGACCCCGACUGAAAGCAAUAGAAAGGGGAGAAGCUGGGCCAUCUUUCAUUUACUCUCAUUUAAAAGGAUUUGAAGAGAAAAUAAAAUGGCAGAGCUGUAAGAUUAAUAUCCAGGAUGAAUGAUGAUAACUCAGAUAGGAAAGAAGAUGAACCGCAUUAUGUAUUUAUCUGUGAUAAGAACUCGAAUCCGUCCGAAUGCUUCAAAACAGCUCUGCAGUGCUCUUCAGUUAGUCACGGGGACUGGGACUCGGCCAACCCAGAUGACAUGGUGGUCGAUUAUGAAACAGAUCCUGCCAUGGACAGUAGUGAAAGUGUUUCUUUAAGCCAUCAGCGUGUUGAAGUGCUCGCUUACCCAGAGCCUUCAAGUGACUUCAUGGGGAAGCAUGAGUUUGCAAUGUACAGUGAGCUUACCUGCCAGUCUCCUGCACUCGUGAACACAGGGAAGCCCCCAGACCCACACAGUGACUUUGGUUCCCUAGAGGCAAUCCAGGAUGAGAGGUUUGAUCCAUCUAAGCCCUGUGUGUACAAGGCUGAUGAUGAUUAUGCUUGUGGAGACUCUCCUGAAACUUUGGAGCUAAAACAAACAUGUCACAUGAAAGUGGCCACAGCUAACUGCACCUUUAUAGCACAGCAAGCUAUUGAACAGGGUCAGCCUCCACGUGCUCCUAGAGGGUUGCAGCCAACAGUGAGAGACAGAAAUGCAUUGUCCUGCUCCAAUCGGACCCCACCCUCUUCCUCUAAAAUGUGUGUAAGAGGGGUUAACGGCAAUAGAGAGAACUUCGAAAGCCUUCAAACCACACCACCAAAGACCCUAAACACAACCUAUACAGUGAUUUCUGAUGUGCUGAUGCAAACUGACAGUCCAGACAUUGGAAUUCAGUGUCAGCAUUCUUUAGGAAAUAUCACCAAAGAGUACACAGAUGGGACAGGGCAAGGAUACGUUGGAGAAAAAGAGAUACAAGCUGUGACACUGGUUUCUGAUGGCAUGGAGGUCCCCAAUGGGUCUGUAUUACAGAAGUUCUAUUGUAUAUCUGAAGAAGACCCAAACAGUGAGACACAUUCACACGGCUCGUAUGCUCAACAGGAAAUGGGCCAAAAUCUAAGGGGAUCAUUGUCCGACGGUCAUGUUGCUGGUGAAUGCCCAGUACUGGGGCCAGCUUUUGGUAAGAGUAAAACCCGAGUGCUGGACUCUGAGUGUAAAGUCAUGGUGACUGAAGACCCACACAUGGAUUCGCAAGACAAUGACUCAGACAUUCAAAGCAGUACUGAGGAGCUGACCCUGGGAAGUGUUCCAAGGCAGAGGGUUUCCUCCUAUGAGGUGGGUUGGGAUGAGAGUGUAGGAGCCAUUAGCACAAAUAAUACAGCCUGCGUGUCAGCCCCAAUUAGGCAACUCUCCGAUGUGAGCCUCACACUUUCACCUGUUGAGGUGACGAAGAAAUACAAUAAUGUGGAGAACGGACCAAGAGAUGCUAAAAGUGCACCAAACUUGAAAGGAGAACCAACAAAUAUGCCACAACCUAAUCUGGGAAAAUCAGCUACCAAAACGAACACCACCAUAGGCGGUAAAGUCCGGAAGACAGAAAUUAUAAGUUACCCCAGACCAAACUUCAAGAACAUUAAAGCCAAAGUUAUAUCCAGAUCCGUGUUGCAACCCAAAGAUGCUUCCCUAAUGAAGGACACACCCAAUCCCCAGGUUCCGGGGGGCUCCUCACCCACACCAGUGCCUUCUAAACAGUUGACAAUGACGAACAAAACACUAAGGUCUGACUUGAAAGCAGACAGGAAAGCAGAAAUCCCAAUUAACAAGACACACAAGCAACAGCUUAAUAAAUUCAUUACCAGCCAGGCUGCGCAAGUUACAGCCCAUUCUAAAAGUGCUUCGCUCAGGGUUCCAAGAACAGCAUCUGCCACGAAAUUGAACCAGGAGGAUGUUGACAAGACAGGUUCUCCUCAUGCAGGGAGCGAGACCGGGUCUGUGACCGCCUUCUUCCAGAAGAUCAAAGGCAUCCUCCCGGUUAAAAUGAAAAGCUCAGAGUGUUUGGAAGUAACUUAUGUUUCCCACAUCGAUCAGAUUAGCCCUGAAAAGGUUGAGCAGGACUGUGAGGCUCCACUGGAAAAGCAACAGCGGGGAAAGCAAGCCAUGAAUGAGACUUUUGAAUCCAAGUCUCUGUUUGUGGGCUCUGCACCCAAAACAUCCACCACCCCAGGAAGGAGCAGUUCCAAGCCAGAUUCCUGCAGCCUGAGGAAAACACCAGGUCUAAAAGCCAAAGUGGGGCCGGCUGCUUCCUGCCUGAGGAGGAAGAACGACAGUAGAACCCUAGGCUCCGACAGGGCCUUAUCGCCUCAGAGGAUCAGGCGUGUGUCCGGCUCUGGUAGUAAUGCUUCCAUCAACAAAUUUGAAGAGAAACCCCCCAAACAAGCCUUUCAGAAUGGCUCGGGACCCUUAUAUCUGAAGCCUUUGGGACCCAGAGCUCAUGCACACUUGCUCAAAACUCCUCCAAAAGGUCCUUCGAGAAAGAGUCUGUUUACAGCUUUUAAUUCAGGCAAGUGACCAUUUUAUGAAUACAUUAAAAUAUUUCCAUUUGAAAAGUAACGAUUAAACACAUUGAAAUUUAUUUGUAAUUACUUUUACUUGUAUAGUUAAAAGUCAAAAUUCAGGCUUUAAGGUGUAACUAACUGCUUAGGACGAACAGAAGAUGAAACAGGUAGAUUUAGCCUAAGAUGACUUUUUGAACAUGGUUCACAUGAAAUACAACUGGACACUCCUUCAGAUAUACAUGCUAUUUUAAACUGGGUCAUCUUUAAUAGUAAAAUGGUCUGAAGAUACAAUUUUUAACUAAUUGUACCAAUUCAAGGCUUUCUAUGUUUCUGACUUCCUCCAUGCACACUGUCGGUUGGAUGUACAUUUCUAGGGCAGCCUAUAGCUUAAAGUAAAAUUGAACUACAUUGAGAGCCCAGCACUUCCUUUUGAGCAUCUAAAGCUCUUAUGUGCUCACCAGGUUUCCAUGUAUGACACGCAGGCCUGUGUGCAGCCGGCCAUGCACUGCCUAUGUGCUCUCCUUUUUACUGCAGCGAUAGCAGAGUCAUGUGGCUUCCAAGUCCACUGCACAUCAGGACAGAAUGCCAGAAAAAAGAAAGGAACAUGUAAAGUAGCUGUUAGACAGAGUCUCAUGUUGUCAGUACAGAAUUCAUCUGUGGGCCGCGGGGUCCCUCCGGUUAGCUGUAAGAAUGGUGGUUGGUUAGUUUCCCAGCCCAAGGCUGGCCUGGAAUUCGAGCCUAAUGAGGAAAGUUUGCCCCGUGUGGCUUUGGAAGCAAAACUACUUAACUAUGGGCAUUCCAUUUGGUUACAUGCCACGGCGUGAUCGGGUUUAACGGGUCACCCAGUGUGAUAACAACGAGCCUCUUGGGUACUUGAGUUGGUUCUCUAUCCUGUUCACAGAGAUCGCGUUAUGAGCUGUUUUACAAUCAUCUCUGUUUGGGGAGUUUUCUGGUGACAGAUACUUCAAAGUGGGAAUUAAAAAAACUAAAGCACAUGCAUUUUAGAGUUGCUUAGAUAAUCAUAUUAUUUCCAUAAAGCUUCAUACUAGUUUCUGAUAUGAUCCACAAUAUUACAGCAUCAGUCAUACUGUCUCUGGUCAAUCUCAGAUUUAAUUUAAUUUAAUUAAUUAAUUUAUUAUUUUUUAAAACUUUUAUGUAUUUAAUUUAAUGUUGUAAAGUUGUUUUUUUUUUUUUUCCAACAUGUGUUUUGUGAACAGUGUCAGAUCCCCUAGAUCUGGAAUUACAGUUGUGAGCUGUCAUGUAGGUUCUGGAAAGUGAACUGUGUUCUUUAGUAGUGCUCUAAAUCUCUGAGCCAUCUCUCUAGACCCCGGUUGGCUUUUUUGUGUGUGUGUGUGCGCGCGUGUGUGUAUGUGUGUGUGUGUGAAAUGUUUGAAAUGUUCCAUCAUUAUUUUAGUUUAACGGUUAUUUUAAAGAAUUCUGUUACCUCAGAAGACAAUGAAAGAAGAUUGACCUUGUGAGGCUCCGAGGUUGGCGUAAAUCUUGGUUCUCCUUCUUUCUAUUUCUGUCCUGACCUCUGGCUACUUGCUAAGCCUCUCUAGGGCUUGAGUUUCUCGUGUGGCAGCAUGGGAAUGUUGAGCAGAUAAAUCCCAGUGUGGGAAUUGUUCUGACCGUGGAGACUAUUUUCAUCCCAGGCUCUCACAUGGUAGUGGCCACUGCUGUUAGGGCUGACAAUCCUUGUCAUUCACUUCCCAUGGCUUUACAUCGGAGGUAACCCCACCCCCCACCGCAGGGUGUUGAGUCCCAGGAAACCCUCGAAGCAAGUGGUAAACCUCACCAAAGCUAUGAACCCCCUCCCCGAGCUCUAGCCAUUGUGACAUUUAAAGGUUAUGACAUUAGGAGAUUCUAGGCAGCACCGGCUCUAAAUAAAACGCACUUGCUAUUUGGGAGGGGGUUGUCACACACCACAGCAUACUAUUAUAAAUGUGGCUCUGACACCCAUAGUUGCUGUUCGGGAUACCUCAGCCAACCCAAGUUGUGCUUACACAGUUCUUGACUGUUUUAUAUACCAUCCUGUCAUGGGCCAUGGUGUCUGCCUUGCCAAGUGGGAAUGCCUCCUCCUGUGCCAUUUCAUAGACAUGGGCCAGGGUCGUGUGGCUUUCUGCGUCUCCUUGCUCCAAAGUCAGGAGGUGGUUGAGCUGCAGACCUACUCUGGGGAGGGGAUGAGAUGCUGCCACACUGUACACCUGCGGUCCUUCCUUAUUACAUGUUGGUGAUCUCAACUUGGCUCUCACGUUGAAAGAGCAGAUCCCAUUUGGAUACGUGGAAAAUCUGGUGCUUUGUGUUGGGAGGAAUGAAUCGCUUAGUGAAUCCCACUGCAGCAGUGGCUACCGUUUUGGCCGGGCACUAGAUGUCCUCACCAAGGGCACGUGAAUGUAUUGUACACAGAAGCAUUUUAAGUGUAGAGAUAAAUAAAAGCACCACAAAUACAGACCUGGGUAUAGAAGGUCUUUCCAGUAACAUGCAUAUAACAAAGGAGAUCAAUAAUUAUGACAGCACAUGAUUUGAGCUUUGUUUUGUCAAAUCAUUACGAACAGUAGUAAGAACAAAGCCAUACAAUGACACCACAUUUGCUCUGGGUAGCGCUCUCAAAAACCAGCAAGGCAGAGCCAGCCUCACAAUAGAUGCUAAAAGGGCCUAUUGUCUUAAGACACCUCUGUUAAAAUCCAUAUUGCAUCUUUUUAAUUGAAAAAGAAAAGUAACUACGUGAAAUUCAGGGCGAGCCAAAUAAGACUCCAAUGCCAAUCUUGUGGGGGGCAAAAACAAAGAAAGGUGAAGGUGCCGUAAUUCUUGCUUUCAAAUCUAUAAUUAAAACAGUCUGAAGUGGGCACAACGGUAGAUACAUAUUCCAAUGCAAUGAAUGGAACAGCCCAGAAACAAAUCAGUUUACUCACACUCUGCUGAGCCUUGGCAAGACUGCCAAAAACUACCAAGUGGAGAAACCAUCAUUUCUCUAAGGAAUAGUAUGGGAAGAAGUAGAUGUCUGUGGGUGCACUGAACUCGAACCUUCACCUCACCCCAUACACAGAAAACAACUCAGUGAAUUACAGUAAAACUCAAAACUGAAAAAUCAGGAGAAGACAGAGGGGAGAGCUUCAUGGCUUUGUCGUUGUCCAUGAUUUCUUAGAUUGAUACCAGAAGAAUGUGGCAAGCAAAAUGGGACAAGUGGGACUCUGAGGAGCCCAAACUCUUCUGCUUAGCAAGGGGGGCAGUCGGUAACAUGACGGGUGGCCCACGAGACAGAGGGGACUGCUUGCAAGCCAUACUUUGCAAUAAUGGCUGAUUUACCCAAAGUGAAAUCAGGAUAUGGAAAGGAGAUUUGAUCUGCCAUGUUCUUUGCAUACUCUUGCAAUUGGGGGUAUGGGUGGAGGUUGGGAGGGGAGACACCGUCUCUGCGGACUGGUGGCCCAGGUGCCCUGGCGAACACAACAGAAAGAGGGACAAACCAUCCCAAGCAAUAGAUAUCAAAAGACUGACACCCGACAGGCGUCCCCUGACCUCUCCAUGCACCGUGUGGCACAUGUGGCAUUCACAGGCACAAAUGCAUGGGCGUGCAGUGCACAGAAGGGAGAAGGGAGUCUUGCUGACACCGAUUACACUGGUAUCUAAAUCUUUAGGUUUUGUAGCAGCAUAACACGUAAUGGCUUCCCGGCCCUGGUGGUGCUGGCCAAGAAAUGGGAAGUUGCUGUUGUGGAGAGAUUCAGUUUUGAAAGAUCAGGACAUUGUGACAACAUACACGGUUACAGCACAGUUUAACAGUAAGGAGCAUAGGUUUAAAAUUUGUUGAGGGUAGAUUUUGUGUUCUUGCCUUAAUAACAGGGAAGAUGAACACACAAGAAACUGAAAAAAAAAAUGUAGGACUAAGAAACGGGGAAAAGAACUGUUAGCUGAUUGAAGCGUGUACUCUCCUUUUGGGCCGAUUUUUCUUUAGCCCGGUACCUAGUGGAUGAUGAAUCAAGACCAGGAGCUUACACUCUGUACCAGAGUAUAUGUGAAUUUGGGAGCCAUUGCAUAAGGAAUGGCUUUCUAGACAAGAUAUGCACGAUCAGAACGAGCCUAGGAAGAGGGUCUUCUUAAAUUACUUUUCAGACUUCUUUAAAAUAGGAGGAGGAAAUGGAGACUUAGAGAGAUGGCUUGGUAGUUAAUAGUUUUACUAGUCAAAGAGCAAACAAACGUAAAGUAAAACAAACAAUGACUAAAACAAGAAACCAAAAGGCCCACUACCACCAAAAGCCAACUAAAGUCUAAUCCUUAUUUACUGCUCCAUCCUAAGUACUAAACUUUGCUCCCCUGGUUUUCUGGCCAUCGUUGCCUCGUGCUGAUCCUUAGGACUUGACAAAGUAACAGCAGAAGCCACCUUUCUUCAUUGCACCAUGCCAGCUGGCCACCAGGGGGCAGAGGAUGUUUGGGAAAGAGUCGAAACCGAGCAGUUUGAGGCUUGUCUCUAAGCACAUUGUUUUGUUGGGGGUGGGGGCGCUUUUUACAAACAGGAGCUGCAUUUGGUUUUCCUCCACACUGAUAUUAUUUGUAUUACUUCAGCCUCUUUCUGCAUUCAAGAGAAAAGGUUAAUAAUUAACAUGCACGGGGUAGGUGAUGACAGUAGAGUUCAAAUAAACUUUAUUUUAAAUUUAUUUUUUUUUAUUUUACCUUACUUUAUUUUCAUGGGUGUGGGUGUUUUGCUUACAUGCAUGUCUGUGUAUCACAUGCAGGUAUCCUGCCUGAAAGGGUGAGCAGCAGGUAUCCGAUCCCUUGGGACUGGAGAUGGCUGUGAGGGGUCACAUGUAGGGUGCUGGGAGCGGAACAUGGGUCCUCUGGAAGUCUAGCCAUUAACUGCCAAGCCUUCUCUUAAGCCCCUUAAAACAAAACUUUUAGUAAAUGUACAUUAUUGGUUAUUUCUUCCUUUGGGUAGUUUAAGCCAAUGGGUUUCCCUGUGACAGAAUCGUUUACUAUUAACAAAAGAACCACAACCCCUGAAAAAGAUCCCACCCAGAAACCAAAAAACUGACUACACGGACAAGCGUGGGUGUGUCUAUUUGUGACACUAAUUUUAUUUCUCAUUCAGUUUGCAGUUUUGAUUCUUACUGAUACCUUUUUAGAACAUGUUUUUGAUAGCAAAUGAGGAGCUUGGCUUUUGGUUUUGUUCUGGUUUUUUUGUUUUUGUUUUUGUUUUUGUUUUAAUAUUCCGAAUUUGGAGAAAGGAGUUUAAUGGUUUUAAAAAUAACAACCUGUGAUUUAACAGAGGAAAAGAAAGCCCAAAGAUCUGUUUCUUUGACGCUAAUUCAGUGGUACGACCUCUUCACAGAGGUCACCAAAGACCAUGGGAAAGCACAGACGUUUACAUUACACUCCUAACAGUAGCAAAAUCACAGUCAUGAGGAAAACAAUUUUAUGGUGGGGGUGGAGGGCACAGCAUGAGGCACUGUAUUAAGUUGCAGCAUAAGGAAGGGUGAGAACCACUGCUGUAACUCCAUUGUUGCUAUUCCUGUUGCCCUGGAUGUGUUCUUCAGGAGAUUGGUUGGGUGUGGGUGUGGCCUCUGUGGGCUGCUGGUAUGUUCUGUCAUCCUCUGACAGGACAGGGCAUGGGGUGCAAGCAAGGGGUUGAGUUAUUCCAGUUCUCUCUUUCUCCUGUCCGCUCCGACUCUCAGAUGCUGUGUGGGAUUUCGGAAUAACUGCUUUUUAUCAGUUGCAACGUUCAUGACAGGACCUGCGACAUCAUUGGCUGUUACAUAAAGCUCCUGAGACCACCCACUUUCUCCUCCCCUUUCCAUCCCUGAUGGGAGCCACAACAACCCAUGGCAUGUACAGUGUGAUGUAACCAGGGCUGCCUGCUUCCGGACCUGCUCCUCACAGCUCUUGCUCAGACGGAGGGCAUUGUUUUUUUAGCAACAUCUGGGAGUGCGAACGGAAGCCUGGAGCCCUAGGAUAGCUUUAUUUCCCCCUCUGGGUGGCCUGGCGUCAGCUAUGUAAGCUUGUUUUGCUCUGGCUGUGUCUCUUGGCCUGGAAGAACACCGAGUUGCAAAGGGACAGUAUGUGAUGGUCCCUGGAAAAGCUGCUUCCCCUGCGAAGUUCUCCCACUGGCUUCGAAGAGAUGCUGUUGUCUCCCAAAUUCUCCUUAUCCACCAUUCACGUCCGCCUAACCGCCAAGGGACUGCUUCGAAACCUCCGGCUUCCUUCUGGGCUCAGGAAAAACACUGUCAUUUUCCACACAGGUUGGUCAUGCCCUGGUCUCUGCUCAGCACCAAACCGGGGAGGGAUAUGCUGAUGAACUUGCAAACGCUUCUCAGAUUUCUAUGGAGACAGAUAAUUGGGAAAUAAAGCCCUCUUUAAAAGGAGAGACUUGACUGGUGACAAGGAGCAGUUUUCUCUUGUGUCGAGCAGGAGGGGAGGGUACUUCGGCAGCUGUAGGCUUGUCUGAGUUUAUGGAUGCAGGGUCAUUGCCUUGCAACUUUCUGAAGCUCUCCUCAGCCACCAAAUCUGUUAUAAAAAAAAAAAAAAACCAAACACCUGUUAAUUCACAUCUGUCUUCAAAUGAUUUUUGGAAAUAGGUAGUGAGCAUGUUGAGACGACUUCUCUUUGCAUUGGGAAAGGAGAUGGUUUCUGUGGUUUUGUUUUGCAGUUUAGCAGUUUCUCACUAAGAUGGCAUUUCCGUAUAUGGAAAGACCCCCCCCCACACACACACACACACUCACAUACACACACAUUGUAAACACUCCUAAAAUCACCCAGAUGCUUGCGGAGGGCCAGUAAGCGGACCUCACUUUAGUUUUCCAGUCUUCCUAGUGCAAACAGCUGUGGUCAUGGAAUAUUGCUGCUGCUGUCUGUGUAUGCUGCUGCCGCCGCCGCCUUUCAUUCUGCUGUGCGUAACCGGGAACUCUCCUGGGUGCAUCCCUUCAAGCACCUGUAAACCCGUCUGCUUACGCUCAGGUACUAAGACCGCAGUGGUGGUGAAUUAAGUUGAUUCCAUUGUGUGACAGCCUAAGUCUCCUUAUAAUUGGUUGGGGCUGCCCUGUGUUCCCUUUAACAGGCUUGCUUCAUGGGCAUGCAAAUGCACGAUUUUCCCAUGCCAUGUGUGUGUGUUUCCUGUGUGCCUCUUGUUUUUCAGUUGGCUCACUGUCCCUGGUGAUUUUCUUUUUUAAAUCGUGCUGACAGCUUUUCAUCUUCUCAGCGGCAUCUGCCUUCCCUGUGGGAUGAUCUUGAUAUUUUUUUCCCCAGCUUCCUUUCCUCGUUUCAUAACUCCCCUUGGCCGGGCAUUUGAGUUGGCUGGCCUUUCCUUCCAGGUCUGAUGGCUGAAGGUAAAUGAAGAGAACUGGGGCCAUGCCCAGCCCAAAUGCCACUGUGAUUCAUUUCACCCCUAAAAAAAAAAAGGUGGGGGCCAUGGUGGGGGGAGCUUGCUGGCUGCUGAGACCUUGGCUUUAAUUGCCUGUCCCCUGAAAUUAAAAAUAUAUUACAACUAUAUAAAAAAGGUUAAAAAAAUACAGGUGUGCUCUGUUACUGUUACUAUUAUAUUAUUAAUUUUUUCAUAUAAUUUUCAUCCUAUUCUUUCUCCUCCAGCUCUUCCUGGUUCAUCCCACCCCCCUACAUUAUACAAACAAGUGUGCUUUAUGUUAACAAUAAUUUCCGUGUUCCAAAGCACAAGCAGCUCCCAAUAUUAAUUUCUAAAACUAAUGUAGGACCUGCUCUAAGGUAAAAGGCUUGGGAGCAGUGGGCAGAUAGGAUCUAAAUACAUUAUAUGUGUGUGAAAUUUCUAAAGAGUAAAUUUUCAAAAUAAAAUCAGAAAGAGAAGGUCUGAGGGCACAGCGUCAGCCAAAUGUGCCUCUUUCUAACCCCGACUCUAUCGUCUCUCACUGUCACAGUCUUCUGGUUACCUUUCCUACAGUAGGUUAGCCAGAAACAAGCUUAUGGGAGCCUUUCAUAGCCUCAUCGUUAGGCAGACUUGGAAGCUUGGUUUUGCUGUUUUAAUUGCUGCCCUUUGUAAGGUUACCGUAUCUUAGAGUUUCAUGGUUACCCACUUCAUUCUUCUUUGGGUGGAGAAGGUGCCAGGGAUGGAGCCGGGUCUGGUACCUGCUUGACUGGCGCUCUACCUACUGAGCCGCACAACCCAGCCUUUAUCCCAGACCUUUAACAGUGUGAAGCGCUGCUGACUGAACAGUGCUUUCACUUGUUCCACCCACCGAUGGCUUGACGUUUGUUUGUAAACGCCUUUGUUAAGCUGGUACUUUGAGCCUGAAUGACCAGAGUUCAGUUAAUAAUGUGUUUUCUUGCCAUGUUGUUUUCUGAGCUUAUAGAAGUAUUUUAAAACCCUUUUGCUGAGAGUCCUAGUCCUUAGACCUGUAAUACACGUAGCAGGGAGAGUGCUCCUUACUUUACCCUGGGAAGGCCCGGGCACAUGAACUGACUUGCCCAAGCGCACACAGUAAGUGAGGCAGCAGCACAACCUGUGAGCUCUGUUUACAUUUUUUACCUUAAAGAUUUUUCCCCCAGCUGUGAGUAUGGCGCUCUCUCAGCACCAGGGACUGGGGACGAAGGAGUGCUUUCCUCGUCAAGAUUGUUAAGUUCCUAUAAGAAAUUGGAGGCUGGGGGUUGGGGAUUUAGCUCAGUGGUAGAGCACUUGCCUAGCAAGCACAAGGCCCUGGAUUCGGUCCCCAGCUCCUAAAAAAAAGAGAAAAAAAAAAAAAGAAA
Molecule: non-coding RNA, 11563 nt
Organism: Rattus norvegicus (Norway rat)
Lineage: Eukaryota; Metazoa; Chordata; Mammalia; Rodentia; Muridae
Source: RefSeq, a predicted model, not a curated record